AGCGAACGCUGGCGGCAGGCUUAACACAUGCAAGUCGAGCGGGCAUAGCAAUAUGUCAGCGGCAGACGGGUGAGUAACGCGUGGGAACGUACCUUUUGGUUCGGAACAACACAGGGAAACUUGUGCUAAUACCGGAUAAGCCCUUACGGGGAAAGAUUUAUCGCCGAAAGAUCGGCCCGCGUCUGAUUAGCUAGUUGGUGAGGUAAUGGCUCACCAAGGCGACGAUCAGUAGCUGGUCUGAGAGGAUGAUCAGCCACAUUGGGACUGAGACACGGCCCAAACUCCUACGGGAGGCAGCAGUGGGGAAUAUUGGACAAUAGGCGCAAGCCUGAUCCAGCCAUGCCGCGUGAAUGAUGAAGGCCUUAGGGUUGUAAAGUUCUUUCACCGAUGAAGAUGAUGACGGUAGUCGGAGAAGAAGCCCCGGCUAACUUCGUGCCAGCAGCCGCAGUAA
RNAcentral lists this ribosomal RNA (451 nucleotides) under uncultured bacterium. RNAcentral's name for it is "partial 16S ribosomal RNA". It matches the Rfam family "Bacterial small subunit ribosomal RNA", at positions 29 to 523 of the family's 1533-position model. The record is from RNAcentral.